ACAAAAAAGAUGCCGAAUUCCUUGAAAGGAAACGGGGGAACCAUUUCGGGUGAAUUGAUCCCGAUUGCGAAUGCGCGAAUCGGGGGUCAUAGGGAGCCUUCAACCGAACCCCACAGCUAACCUCGUAGGCUACGGAAGGAGCUUUA
RNAcentral lists this small RNA (146 nucleotides) under Paenibacillus sp. RNAcentral describes it as "c-di-AMP sequence". It matches the Rfam family "c-di-AMP riboswitch aptamer (ydaO/yuaA leader)". From Rfam's summary of the family: This family represents a conserved RNA structure found upstream of the ydaO and yuaA genes in Bacillus subtilis and related genes in other bacteria. The ydaO/yuaA element is thought to act as a genetic "off" switch for the ydaO and yuaA genes in its native state. RNAcentral also lists the same sequence under 1 other name. The record is from RNAcentral. Lineage: Bacteria; Bacillati; Bacillota; Bacilli; Caryophanales; Paenibacillaceae.